Molecule: ribosomal RNA, 425 nt
Filed under: uncultured bacterium
Lineage: Bacteria
Description: partial 16S ribosomal RNA
Rfam family: Bacterial small subunit ribosomal RNA
Source: RNAcentral
GUGGGGAAUAUUGGGCAAUGGGCGAAAGCCUGACCCAGCAACGCCGCGUGAAGGAAGAAGGUCUUCGGAUCGUAAACUUCUAUCCUUGGUGAAGAUAAUGACGGUAGCCAAGAAGGAAGCCCCGGCUAACUACGUGCCAGCAGCCGCGGUAAUACGUAGGGGGCAAGCGUUGUCCGGAAUGAUUGGGCGUAAAGGGCGCGUAGGCGGCCUGGUAAGUCUGGAGUGAAAGUCCUGCUUUUAAGGUGGGAAUUGCUUUGGAUACUGUCGGGCUUGAGUGCAGGAGAGGUAAGUGGAAUUCCCGGUGUAGCGGUGAAAUGCGUAGAGAUCGGGAGGAACACCAGUGGCGAAGGCGACUUACUGGACUGUAACUGACGCUGAGGCGCGAAAGUGUGGGGAGCAAACAGGAUUAGAAACCCUGGUAGUCC